GCACGGGUGAGUACACGUGACUAACCUACCCUGGAGUGGGGGAUAACUGAGGGAAACCUUAGCUAAUACCGCAUAAUACCCAACGGGUCAAAGGAGCAAUUCGCUCUAGGAGGGGGUCGCGGCCGAUUAGUUAGUUGGCGGGGUAAUGGCCCACCAAGACUGUGAUCGGUAUCCGGCCUGAGAGGGCGCACGGACACACUGGAACUGAAACACGGUCCAGACUCCUACGGGAGGCAGCAGUGGGGAAUUUUGCGCAAUGGGGGAAACCCUGACGCAGCAACGCCGCGUGGAGGAUGAAGUACUUCGGUACGUAAACUCCUUUCGAUCGGGACGAUAUGACGGUACCGGAAGAAGAAGCCCCGGCUAACUUCGUGCCAGCAGCCGCGGUAAUACGAGGGGGGCAAGCGUUGUUCGGAAUUAUUGGGCGUAAAGGGUGUGUAGGCGGUUU
This 448-nucleotide ribosomal RNA is filed under the name uncultured bacterium. Its description in RNAcentral is "bacterial SSU rRNA". It matches the Rfam family "Bacterial small subunit ribosomal RNA", at positions 100 to 581 of the family's 1533-position model. The record is from RNAcentral.